This 480-nucleotide ribosomal RNA is filed under the name uncultured bacterium. RNAcentral's name for it is "bacterial SSU rRNA". It matches the Rfam family "Bacterial small subunit ribosomal RNA", at positions 791 to 1271 of the family's 1533-position model. The record is from RNAcentral.
UAGUCCACGCCCUAAACGAUGUUUACUCGAUGCUUGUCACUAGAUGAGCAUCCAAGGGAAACCGUUAAGUAAACCACCGGGGGAGUACGGUCGCAAGAUUAAAACUCAAAGGAAUUGACGGGGGCCUGCACAAGCGGUGGAGCAUGUGGUUUAAUUCGACGCAACGCGCAGAACCUUACCAGCUUUUGACAUCCUGGUCGCGGAUUUGGGAGACCAUUUCCUUCAGUUCGGCUGGACCAGUGACAGGUGCUGCAUGGCUGUCGUCAGCUCGUGUCGUGAGAUGUUGGGUUAAGUCCCGCAACGAGCGCAACCCUCAUCCUUAGUUGCCAGCAUUUAGUUGGGCACUCUAAGGAAACUGCCGGUGAUAAGCCGGAGGAAGGUGGGGAUGACGUCAAGUCCUCAUGGGCCCUUACAAGCUGGGGCUACACACGUGCUACAAUGGCGAUGACAGUGAGCAGCUAACCCGCGAGGGCAAGCUAA